GUGUACAUCUACCGCGACGGCGAGCCGCGCCCGCUGGCCCAGCUGCGCGGCCCCGGCCUCAUGCUGCUGUCGCUGGCCGUGCUGGGCAGCAAGAUUAUCGCGGGAUAUAAAGAUAGGAGUUUGUUCAUAUGGAAGAUUCCACUUAGCAUACUACAAGAAAUGAUUUUAUAAAAUAUCUGGGUGUCUUAGAUGAAAUCUCACCUAUUGUUUUGUUACUGUAACUUUUCACCUAUUUUCUAGUAUGUACCUAUCUUGUAAAUAAAGCAGAUGUUUAACAUA
Ostrinia nubilalis (European corn borer) is the source of this 279-nucleotide long non-coding RNA. RefSeq lists it as uncharacterized. The transcript is spliced from 2 exons. NCBI's taxonomy places the organism in Eukaryota, Metazoa, Arthropoda, Insecta, Lepidoptera, Crambidae. The record is from RefSeq and is a predicted model, not a curated record.